RNA transcript from Phacochoerus africanus (Common warthog), 1123 nucleotides. It is a transcript of the gene named cytochrome c oxidase assembly factor 8, with no coding region annotated. The transcript is spliced from 6 exons. The record is from RefSeq and is a predicted model, not a curated record. Lineage: Eukaryota; Metazoa; Chordata; Mammalia; Artiodactyla; Suidae.
AGCGCCGUCGCGACUCCGCCGUGCGCCGCGCGGGCCGACGGACGGCGACCAUGGCGGCCUGGCGGCCCGGAAGCAAGACGGUCGUCCUUCCUCUCCGCCGCCCCUUUUCAAGCCGUGGCUGUCAGCUCGCCCCCGAGCGCAGCGCUGAGCGCAGGGAUGCAGCGCCCAGCCGCGUCUCAAGUUUCUGCCCUCCAAGAAAAUCUUGCCAUGAUUGGAUAGGACCCCCAGAUAAAUAUUCAAACCUUCGACCUGUUCACUUUUACAUCCCUGAAAAUGAGUCACCACUGGAACAAAAGCUAAGAGAAUUAAGACAAGAAACACAGGAAUGGAACCAACAGUUCUGGGCGAACCAGAAUUUGACUUUUCAUAAGGAAAAAGAAGAAUUUAUUCACUCAAGACUGAAAGCUAAAGGCCUGGGACUGACAGCGGAAUCAGGUGCAAAAGCAACAUUGAAUGCAGAAGAAAUGGCUGAGUUUUACAAGGAAUUUCUAAGUAAAAAUUUUCAGAAGCACAUGUAUUAUAACAGCGCAUCAGGAGCUCGUGGACAGGGGUUCGAAACAGCACUCCCAUCCGAAGCGCGGGACUCCUUUGAGGUGCACAGUCUGGGCAGGAACAGCACCCGAGGCACCCCUUGGGUUUGGAAGUGAGGUUUGUGUGAGGCCGGCUCAGGAGGCAGCCUGAGGGGCUCCCAGGGGCCAGAGGCAAGGCCAUUCCAGCCACACGAAGAAAUGACUGCUGGCGGAGUGAAGACACAUCACAUGUACAAACGUCUUUGCCAUCCUGGUGACACUGACCGGCUCACGGCCCCGGGACAUUACGAGGCAGAGCAUCAUCCUGGAAACUGGUGUGUGGAGAAGAGAAUGCAGAGGUGGCUCCCCUCUCCUGCUCUCCCGAACCUGCUGGAAGCGGGGUGGCCAAGAGGGGAGUAGCCUUUGCAGAAGAAGGACAGUGAACACAGAAGGCGUGGUGGAAUUAGAAAAUUACCACUCUUGGAGAUCCCGUCGUGGCGCAGUGGUUAACGAAUCCGACUAGGAACUAUGAGGGACUGGUACAAGCGUAAUUUUGCCAUCACCUUCUUCAUGGCAAAAGUGGCCUUGGAGAGGAUCUGGCGCAAGCUUCCACU